UACGGGGGGGGCAAGCGUUGUUCGGAAUUACUGGGCGUAAAGGGCUCGUAGGCGGCCAACUCAGUCGGAUGUGAAAUCCCCAGGCUCAACCUGGGAACUGCAUCCGAUACUGGAUGGCUUGAAUCCGGGAGAGGGAUGCAGAAUUCCAGGUGUAGCGGUGAAAUGCGUAGAUAUCUGGAGGAACACCGGUGGCGAAGGCGGGUCUCUGGGCAAUAACUGACGCUGAGGAGCGAAAGCGUGGGGAGCGAACAGG
RNAcentral lists this ribosomal RNA (253 nucleotides) under uncultured bacterium. Its description in RNAcentral is "partial 16S ribosomal RNA". It matches the Rfam family "Bacterial small subunit ribosomal RNA", at positions 524 to 776 of the family's 1533-position model. The record is from RNAcentral.